RNAcentral lists this ribosomal RNA (433 nucleotides) under uncultured bacterium. RNAcentral describes it as "partial 16S ribosomal RNA". It matches the Rfam family "Bacterial small subunit ribosomal RNA", at positions 29 to 507 of the family's 1533-position model. The record is from RNAcentral.
AACGAACGCUGGCGGCAUGCCUAACACAUGCAAGUCGAACGAGACCUUCGGGUCUAGUGGCGCACGGGUGCGUAACGCGUGGGAACCUGCCCUUAGGUUCGGAAUAACUCCCCGAAAGGGGUGCUAAUACCGGAUAAUGUCUUCGGACCAAAGAUUUAUCGCCUUUGGAUGGGCCCGCGUUGGAUUAGCUAGUUGGUAGGGUAAAUGCCUACCAAGGCGACGAUCCAUAGCUGGUCUGAGAGGAUGAUCAGCCACACUGGGACUGAGACACGGCCCAGACUCCUACGGGAGGGAGCAGUGGGGAAUAUUGGACAAUGGGCGAAAGCCUGAUCCAGCAAUGCCGCGUGAGUGAUGAAGGCCUUAGGGUUGUAAAGCUCUUUUACCCGGGAUGAUAAUGACAGUACCGGGAGAAUAAGCACCGGCUAACUCCGUG